UAAUUUAUUUGAGUCAGAUUUCAUUUGUCUAUGAUAGACCCAUAUAUGACUGCUCAGAAUCGUCUGUUAUUGUAAGUCUGACUAUAUCAUUAAUAUUAAAAAACAAAAAACAACUACUAUGUAAAUAAUAA
This 131-nucleotide microRNA precursor is filed under the name Populus trichocarpa (black cottonwood). RNAcentral's name for it is "MIR480 microRNA precursor family". It matches the Rfam family "MIR480 microRNA precursor family". Lineage: Eukaryota; Viridiplantae; Streptophyta; Magnoliopsida; Malpighiales; Salicaceae. The record is from Rfam by way of RNAcentral.